RNAcentral lists this long non-coding RNA (302 nucleotides) under Felis catus (domestic cat). RNAcentral's name for it is "lncRNA (ENSFCAG00000044808.2)". Lineage: Eukaryota; Metazoa; Chordata; Mammalia; Carnivora; Felidae. The record is from RNAcentral.
UCCCUUUGUUUCUCUGUCAGCUGAGUCUGAAUGGGCUUCCUCUCCCACUCGUCCCUACUUCUCAUCUCUUUAAUGGAUGACACACAUCGCUGAAGGUCACAGUGAAGUCUCAAACUUCAGUAUGUGGAUUGAUUACGUGGCACCAUUUUACAGUCUCACUUGAUUACCCCCUUUCUUUAAAAAUUACUUCCUUCCUCCUCCCACCGUCGGGGCCGCUGCUCACCAGUGUCUGUAUUGGUAGGUCCUCGUCUUCUUCCUGUCCCCCAUCUGCUUUCCACCCGCCCUUACUCUGGGGUGAUCUC